This 472-nucleotide ribosomal RNA is filed under the name uncultured bacterium. Its description in RNAcentral is "partial 16S ribosomal RNA". It matches the Rfam family "Bacterial small subunit ribosomal RNA", at positions 28 to 507 of the family's 1533-position model. The record is from RNAcentral.
GACGAACGCUGGCGGCGUGCUUAACACAUGCAAGUCGAACGCUGAAGCUUGGUGCUUGCCCUGGGUGGUUGAGUGGCGAACGGGUGAGUAAUACGUGAGUAACCUGCUCUUGACUCUGGGAUAAGCCUGGGAAACUGGGUCUAAUACUGGAUACGACAUGCCACUGCAUGGUGGUGUGUGGAAAGGGUUUUACUGGUUUUGGAUGGGCUCACGGCCUAUCAGCUUGUUGGUGGGGUAAUGGCCUACCAAGGCGACGACGGGUAGCCGGCCUGAGAGGGUGACCGGCCACACUGGGACUGAGACACGGCCCAGACUCCUACGUGAGGCAGCAGUGGGGAAUAUUGCACAAUGGGCGGAAGCCUGAUGCAGCGACGCCGCGUGAGGGAUGACGGCCUUCGGGUUGUAAACCUCUUUCAGCACGGAAGAAGCGAGAGUGACGGUACGUGCAGAAGAAGCGCCGGCUAACUACGUG